GACGAACGCUGGCGGCGUGCUUAACACAUGCAAGUCGAACGGAAAGGCCUGCUUUCCCUUGUGGAUUGCGGGUACUCGAGUGGCGAACGGGUGAGUAACACGUGAGUGAUCUGCCCCCAACUUGGGUAUAAGCCUGGGAAACUGGGUCUAAUUCCCGAUAGGACUGCAGGGUUGUGCCGUUGGUGGAAAACGAUUUUCUAGUGGUUGGGGAUGAGCUCGCGGCCUAUCAGCUUGUUGGUGGGGUAAUGUCCUACCAAGGCGGCGACGGGUAGCCGGCCGGAGAGGGGGGACGGCGACAUUGGGACUGAGUCCCGGCCCAGACGCCUACGGGAGGCAGCAGUGGGGACUCAUGCAAAAGGGGCGGAAGCCUGAUGCAGCGACGCAGCGUGGGGGAUGACGGGAUUCGGGUUGUAAGCUCCUUUCGACCGAGAGGAAGCCACCUGGUUGGAAGGGUGGUGACGGUAGUGGUAGAAGAAGCACCGGCUAACUACGUG
RNAcentral lists this ribosomal RNA (494 nucleotides) under uncultured bacterium. RNAcentral describes it as "partial 16S ribosomal RNA". It matches the Rfam family "Bacterial small subunit ribosomal RNA", at positions 28 to 507 of the family's 1533-position model. The record is from RNAcentral.